AGUGAAUGAGCAAUGUAUCAUGGGCGAUGUAGUUUUUCGCCACGCCCACUCCGCGAUGACUGCAUUGAAGUGGCUCUCUUCUGAAACUACAACUGAAAAAGAGCUAGCGAACCGAACUCUGAAAAAAAAAACGAACUGAUACCAAACCAAUGUGUACUGUUUAACUGAAACAGACACGGCCAGUAUCAGUUUCAAACAAGGAAAUGUCAGUGUACCGAGUUUAGCAGCUAGCCCAGGUUCGGCCGCGAACCUUAACGGUAUUUCAAACUUGGCGGCCUCCGCCAACGUCCCACCAUUCCAGCUCGCCGUGUGAGUGGACGAUGAGGCCCGCCUGUUCCUUUUCCGGCUACACCUGCUUCUCCAGGAUCCUCCAGGAAGUGCAGCGCCAUAAAACCCUAAAGUAGUAAUCCCUCUUCCCCCCGGAGCGAGGAGAGCCGUUAGUUAGCAUGUCGCGAUCACGGGGGAGUCCGUUAGCGCCCGUGGUCUGAUGGAUCUGUCGUCGUAGUGUUCAUGCAGGGUGGAAGAAAAACCAAACAACAACAACAAACACCGUCAACUCCCUGCAAGUUGGCGUUAACGUUAUUGUUUUUCUCCCCUGGUGUAGCCGUUAGUUCUUUGCGGAUCUAAACCUCUCGCCUGCAAUGGGAUGCUGCGGCAGCGCGGAGGUAAGAGACCCGCGUCCUCCUCCACCACCCGCGACGGCCCGCCUGACGAGCUCUGCAAACAAAAAGAGGGCAAAACGAGAAUGGAAACCCCUGGAGGACCGAAGCUGUACGGAUUUGCCAUGGUUUCUGCUCUUCACGCUCUUCUGCGUGGGAAUGGGUGCUAUCUGUGGGUACACCAUAGUGACGGGAGGCGCAUCAAGGCUGGUGUUUGGAUAUGACAGCUACGGGAACACUUGUGGUCAGCGCAAUGAGGCCAUCGAAGGGGUCAAGCUGAGCGGCCUGGACCAUACGGACAGGAAAUAUGUGUUCUUCCUGGAUCCCUGCAACAUAGACAUUGUUCAGAGGAAGAUUAAGUCGAUGGCCCUCUGUGUGUCACAGUGUCCCACUGAGGAGAUGAAGUCGUAUGGGGACCUACGGCGCUUCGCCAUGAUUAACGGCUCUGAGCUCUGUUCCUAUGAGCUAGCUGGCCAUAAGUACCCGAGCCUUCCAGAGCGCUUUGAUAAGUGUCCCAAACUUCCAGUUCCACAGAGUAAAGCUCUGCCGGUGUUUAACCGUUGCACGCCUGUGGACAUCUCCUGCUAUUCUAAGUUUGCUGAGGCGGUGGUGACCUUUGUCAGUGAUAACACAGUGCUCCACAGACUGAUCGCUGGGGUGGUGGCCAGUAAAGAGAUCAUUGUUGGGCUCUGUCUGUUAGCGUUAGUGCUGUCCAUGAUUCUGAUGGUGAUCAUACGCUACAUCUCUGCUGUCCUGGUGUGGAUUCUCACAUUUAUCGUGGUGCUGGGCUCUCUAGGAGGCACCAGUGUUCUGUGGUGGUUAUAUAUAGACCACAGACUGACGAUGAACGAGACUGUGGCUAAAGAUUUAAAGGAAGUAAAAGAAACGAAUGGGGAAACAGAGGCUUCCAAAGACCACAUGCAAGCCCUCCUGGUCUAUGCCAUCUCAGCAACUGUGUUCACGGUGAUUCUGCUACUGCUGAUGUUGUUUAUGAGGAAGCGGGUGGCUCUGACUAUCGCUCUGUUCCACGUGGCUGGGAAGGUGUUUAUCCACCUGCCUCUGCUUGUACUGCAGCCUUUCUGCACCUUCCUUGCCCUGUUCCUCUUCUGGGUCUACUGGAUCUUGGUGCUCCUCUUCCUCGGAACCACUGGGAUUCCUGAGAAGAACGAGGAGACGGGACUGACGGAGUUCAGGCUGAGUGGUCCGCUGCAGUAUCUGACCUGGUACCAUGCUGUGGGUCUCAUCUGGAUCAGCGAAUUCAUCUUGGCAUGUCAGCAGAUGACUGUAGCUGGAGCUGUGGUCACAUACUACUUCACCAGGUCUCGGGACAAGAACAAACUCCCUCUGACUCCCAUCCUGUCAUCUGUGUUGCGUUUGAUGCGUUAUCACCUGGGCACUGUGGCCAAGGGCUCUUUCAUCAUCACCCUGGUCAAGAUCCCACGUCUCAUACUCAUGUACAUCUACAACCAGCUCAAAGGAAAGGAGAACGCGUGUGCGCGCUGUUUGCUGAAGGCUUGUAUUUGCUGCCUGUGGUGUUUGGAGAAGUGCCUCAAUUAUCUGAACCAGAAUGCAUAUGCAGCAACAGCGAUCAACAGCACCAGUUUCUGUACAUCGGCGCGGGAUGCCUUUGUGAUUCUUGUGGAAAAUGCUCUAAGGGUGGCAGCCAUCAACACCGUGGGAGACUUUGUGCUCUUUUUGGGCAAGGUCCUGAUUGUGACAUGCACAGCGUUUGCGGGGGUGCUGGCGCUGAACUAUCAGAGGGACUACACGGAAUGGGUGCUGCCGCUCAUUAUCGUGUGUCUGUUCGCCUUUCUGGUGGCCCACUGCUUCCUGUCCAUCUUCGAGAUCGUGGUUGAUGUUCUCUUCCUUUGCUUUGCCAUCGACACCAAAUAUAAUGACGGUACACCUGGCAAGGAGUUCUACAUGGACAAGGCCCUAAUGGAGUUUGUUGAGAACAGCAGGAAGUCAGUGGCCCCGGCAGAACGGGGGCGGAGCAAGCGGUCCCGUGCCCGCGAGGAGGCGGAGCUGACGGAGAUGAAGGCCAUGGCUCCUGGAACAAGUUCAGCUUGACCAAAAGCAGCCCAUGGGACUUUUUAAAGACAUUCCAAAAUGUUUAUUUUUACCAAUGUGUAACAUGUUUACUAUGGUUUCACUCCAGGGAAUACAGUAUUUUAAUAAGAAACUGUAAAAAAAGAAAUAACAAUGUAAUGAAGCACUUUAUAUUGAAGCGCUGCAUAUUUUAAAAGGCUGAUGCAUUUUUCGUAGUGAUGUCCUUUUUAUAAGACUAAAAAAAACAAUUGCCAUCUAGUGAAACGCAGUAUUAAUAAUGUCUAGAAUCACUGUUUUUAUUAUGUAAGAUUUUCAUAACAAACUUUUUGUUCUUUUUCUUAAAUGGGUUUCUUGACGUUUAUUAGAAACCUUUGUGUCAUGCAGCAAUGAAGAACUUGAUUGAGUUUUUUAUGUCCUAACACUGAAGCAUCUGCACAUUUUUUGCUCCUGUUGAUGUUUUAUUACUCUCAGUCUACUAUGGAACUGUGGAAGUUAACCUGUGUUUGAGGUGGAGAUUAGAGGCUGAGGUCUGGGCUUCAGUGCCUCAGUGUUAAGACUUGGUUGAUUCCUGACCCAAGUUGGUGAUUUUGGAUCUUCAUUUUAAGUGAAACGGAGUCUGAUUUUCCAGCUUUGUUGUUCCUACACAUUGAAGAGGAUUGUGCUAUUCUCUUUUUUUUCAAUUGAAGAAGGUAAUGAUUUAAAGCAUCUAAAGGAAGGCUGUUCUUUGAUUGUUUCUGGCCAGUGAAUGAUGUUCUGUUAGAAGUGUGACCGGGCCUGCUGGUUCUUUCAAGUCUAGUUUGUGCACAGUUUAAUACUGGUAAAAGUAUGUGUCUCUGAGCAGAUGUGUUGAUGUUUACUAGAAUAUUAAAAGCAAAUUCUGAACUAGGGCUGAACAGUAUUGGGUGAAAGUCACAUUACAGAAUCUGAUAUUACAGUGAAACAAAAAGUAUUCAAAAAUGUACACAGAUAAACAAUCUUCAAAUGGAACUAAUUAUGAGUCUAGCAAGGAAAAUUGUGUUAGAGGGAGUAUUAGGGCAAUAGUAGCAUGAUACUGACAAUGCACCAUGCAAUUGCGAUAUACCUUCUAAAAUACUGAAAUUUGUGAACCCUUGAUUUAACAUAUUUAUGAACUGAACAGCAUAUUAUUCCCAAUUUAUUUCUGUUUGUUGGGUCAUGUGAAUGCCUUUAUUCAGACACCCAAAGAACAUCUGUGAUUGGUCAGGAUGUUUUUUUUUUUUUUAUUAAACAAAAACUCUAUUCAGUAGUAAUAGUAACAAAAUAACACUUUUUCUUUUGAUCAGUGCAGAUCAGUGUGACACGGACACUGGGUAACAGCCCAUUCUGCUAAAAUAAAAAUCCACAUUAACCCACAUUGAAGCGCUAUAUGUGUGUUUGUGAUGGAGUUUAAAAGGGUCAAACAGUAAGCAGCAAUCAAACUUGAGCUCUGAUAUAAAAGAUGUUUUUAAUGAUAGUUUUCAAAACCGGAUGUGCAUUUAUUUGUUUAUUUGUUUUGGAUUAAUUUAUCUAUAUGUAUUGUCACAAAUUAGGCUUGUUGUGAAAAGGCCUUAAAGCUUGGUCGCCUCUUCUGGCAAAAAUCUAAUCUAUUCUGACAAAUCAUGAAAUUGGUGAUAUUUACUGAUCAUUUUAUACAAAUUUAUUGAUUUUUCCAAAUUAGUUGUUGACCUAGCCCUGAUAUUGUGCAGCCCUAUUCACAAUUGCUCAACAUUCAUACUAAGACGUUUGGUGCAUGUCACCCUUUUCAGAGAAAGUAAUUCUUAUGUUUUUUAUUCAGUUGAGCUGGAAAAACUUGCAGGCCUUUAGGCAUCGCAUAAAGCAUCACAUAAAGUUCUGGGCAUGUAUUCAUCCAGAAUUUAGAAGUGGAGUUGGAGUGCUAAUUUACAGCCCUGUUCCCUGCAUGUUUAUAGUGACCUAAGUUAUAAAACCAGAUUAGCACUCCUGCUCCUCAUGAAUACUAGCGCAGGAUCUGAUUUCUUGAUUGUGUCGAAGCAUGAUUGUUUUCGAUUUUUCUUUACAAAAAUGCUUAAAACAACAGUGCUUAUAAGGACAUCAGGCCCUGGCCUCUCCUCAAAUGCAGUGUAUUUUCUUUUAGCUAGGGCUAUUUCUGUAGUUCCUCCUUCAGACUGUAGGGGGAGACCGCUUGGCUAACAUUUUUGAUCAAAUAUUUCUGCAUGUGCAGCCCUUUUUUCUUGGCACGUCCAAAUAGUACUAGCCAAAUAGUACUGAGCGUGUUACUGCUCAGUUAAAAUUUCACUUUCUCACACUGCAUCCUGUGGAGAGUUCAGCAGCUUUUAAGUCACUGUGUGGUGUGUGAGCGUCCAAUUUUACACCUGCAGCAAACUCGAGUCUUCCUACUUGCACUACAUUUCUCAAGAGAAGGUUUUUUUUUGUUUGUUUGUUUGUGAGGCAUCCCUUUGAUCCUGAGUGAUGGGGAGAGGAGAGGCACACAAAACGUCGCAUCUUGCCUUAACCCAUCCAGUGGGCAGCACCCCCUACUGGAUUAAAUUGGAGCGUUCCACAAAAGAGAAUGUGGCGGGAAAGUUGGCCAAUAGUUAGCCAUGUACCUACAGAUCUGAAGAGGAAAAACAAGCAAGUGUGCAAGAUUACUGGAUAGAAGGACAUUCCUUAUAUCAUAAAGGUAUUGAAUAUAAAUGAGUUUCAUUUAAAAGUCCUGUAUAUCCGUUUGUAAUCAUUUUGGAUAUAAUGAGUUUCUGAAAAGAACAGCUGACGUAUAAUGGAAGACACUUUAUUUUAUUUCUUGAAAGUGGUCUGCGCUGCGGUUUGGAACGAAAUCCUUCAAACAUACAAUAAACAGACAAUUUGUCCAUUUGCCUCAUUAGAGGCCCAAAUCUUUUCACUAGUUUCACCAUUCAUUUCAGCUACACAGUCAAACUGACUAAUUCACUACUAGCUCAUUUUUCUCAAGCAAGCUUGGGCAGUGUUGGCCAAAAUUUCUGACAAAACAGCUUUUGCAUGGAAUUUUUUGUGUUCUUUAAAAAAAUUAGUUGGAACGAAAUGAGGUGAAUAUGAUGUUGUGAGGUAUGCAGUUUUUUAUGUACAGUAUAUGUGAACAUGUUACGAUACAUGUUUGACAGAUUAUAACAAUGUUGAAGAUUGUCAUUCUUUGACAAGGGACCUGAAAGUGUCUCGUGUUUAUCUGUUUGUUUCUUGUCGUCUCACGUUAAGAGGCUGGAAAGCGUGACUUUUUGGGUUAGCUUGAAGAUAAAUAAAACUAUAAAACUUGGGCAUAGUCCAGAAAUAUACACAGUUGUAGCUAUAAGAGCAUGAAAUUGAGGAAAAAAAAUAUUUAACAUUCGCCACACUAGUCUUAUGCUCAAAGCAUGUUAAGAAUUGCACUAAGAUGGUAUUGAUUUCAACACGGAGAUAAAAGAAAGAUACUGUAAUAAAAAAUAUAUAUAUAUUUAAAAUGGUCUUAUAGUAGCCAUUGGAAGUGUUAGAUGAAGGACUCCCUCAGUUGAGUAAUUGGUCCUUAAAUGUUUGAGAAAUGCAGUAAACUAAAUACAAAAGCAGUCUUUCGGAAAGAACUUUUUGGGUGAGACAAAUGCUGUUAGUAGUUUCCUUAUGCAGAAUUUAGUGUCUUGAUUACUGAUUCUGCUCCAGUUGUGGAGGAUCUGGGUCAGAAACGCUGGUCCUGGAUCAGUGUAAAAGAGCAGCUUAGGCAGUGCUGAGUAAUGGCAGUGACCGGCUCUCCACUCCAGAACACCCCUUCUCUUUUUUUUUUUUUUGCCAAAUGCGUGCACAAUGGGAAAUUCAGACAAAGUGCACAAAGCAGUAUUGUGCUAACUGGCUGAAAACCAGUUUGUUUUUGUUUUGGUAUUCGGUAUGAACCUUGUUUUCCUUUUUUCCUCCCUCUCUCUCUCUCCUCUUUCUCUGUCAAUCAGCCUGGCAGCUGAGCAGCUGCUGUGUGGCAGGGCCUGGCCUGUCACUGUCCAUUAGAGAGACGUAGAAAAGCUCUGCUUAGAGCAGGAGCCGAACUAGCAGCCCAUAGUCACCACACACGCACACACACAUACACAUACACAUAAACACAGACAUAUGACCUGCAUGCUCCCAGUCCGGGCUUUUUCUAACUCUUUAAAACAAAAGAGCCAUUUUUGUAGGACGUGAAUUGUUCGCCAUUAGAAUCCAUGUGACUUAAACACUGACUUUAACUUCUAGAACAAUAGCUUUAUUCAGCGACAAGCCACUGUUUUUUAUUUUUAUUUCUUUUUCCCGAGAUGUGAGUCGAUCUCCUCUUCAUUACUGGAAACUGUGCUUCUAUUCUCAUCACUUCUGGGGAAUAGGCCAUUUCUGUCUAAAGAUACUGUUAUGAAUAGGCAAUACAUCAGUUUACUCGUCUGGUGUAACACUAGCUCUUAGCUUUUACCUGCAGUAAAGUUGUUUGUAACAAUGAACUAAGUUUUUGUUUUGUUCUGUUUUUUAUAUUUAUGAUUUCAUAUGUAUCUUGUUUUUUAAAG
Pygocentrus nattereri (red-bellied piranha) is the source of this 7204-nucleotide RNA transcript. It is a transcript of the gene named solute carrier family 44 member 1b, with no coding region annotated. The record is from RefSeq and is a predicted model, not a curated record. NCBI's taxonomy places the organism in Eukaryota, Metazoa, Chordata, Actinopteri, Characiformes, Serrasalmidae. The transcript is spliced from 17 exons.